UUCGUUAUCGGUCAUGACAAAUUCCGCCAGUAUUGUUCAAAGUUAAGGAUGAUUAGGACCCCUGUGCAUCAACAUUUCGCUCGUGCGACCGACGCAACUAUCUAUCAGACCGGCGGGGCUCACCCUCCUUCCCGAACACCUCCUUUGCAGUGGCGUAAAUUUUGGUGGGUGCUACGACACUUUGAGCAUUCGUAAACGUCAUGGACGAAUCCCGGUUUUUCGAUUUCCG
RNAcentral lists this unclassified non-coding RNA (229 nucleotides) under Hevea brasiliensis (rubber tree). The record is from RNAcentral. Lineage: Eukaryota; Viridiplantae; Streptophyta; Magnoliopsida; Malpighiales; Euphorbiaceae.